Molecule: unclassified non-coding RNA, 325 nt
Filed under: uncultured fungus
Lineage: Eukaryota; Fungi
Description: sequence contains ITS1
Source: RNAcentral
AAUCCCGCAGAGCCUGGCUGGAUCAACAACACUUUGUCCUGGGGAAACAUGUAUAGCUAUAUUCGAUCAUGUAAUGUCGCUAUUCAAAACCUCACCGAGCCACAGAUUUCCAAUGACAAUGGAUUGGUGGACCGAUUGAUGGGAGAAGCAAAGUUCAUGAGGGCUUAUUAUAAUCAUCAAUUAUUGAGGUACUACGGCGCAAUCCCUAUCGUGGACAGACCUUAUGGACUAGGUGAAGAAACUUAUGAUGCUGCCAGAAACACUUGGGAAGAAUGUAUCAACUUCAUCGUACAGGACCUGGAUGAUGCGGCAUCACUUCUUGAAG